AUGUCCGUAUUUAAGUUGCCAAAAGGUAUCUGCAAGGCUAUAACUAAUGAAAUUGCAGGAUUUUGGUGGGGGGAUUCUGAAGAAAAGAAAAAAAUGCAUUGGUAUACGUGGUGGAAGAUGUGUGUGCCGAAGAGAAAGGGGGGUAUGGGGUUUAGAGACCUUCACAGUUUCAACCUUGCUAUGUUAGCAAAACAGUGCUGGCGACUACUCUAGAACCCUGAAUCUCUUUGCGCACGUGUCCUUAGUGCCAAGUACUAUCCAAAUGGAGACAUUCUAAGUGCGGGUCCGAAAAAGGGCUCUUCCUAUACAUGGCAAAGUAUUGUAGCAGGUAUCCAAACCUUUAAAAGGGGCUGUAUUUGGCGGGUGGGGACGGGCGCAAAGAUCAAUAUCUGGCGUGAUCCAUGGAUACCU
This 411-nucleotide ribosomal RNA is filed under the name Triticum aestivum (bread wheat). Its description in RNAcentral is "partial small subunit ribosomal RNA". Lineage: Eukaryota; Viridiplantae; Streptophyta; Magnoliopsida; Poales; Poaceae. The record is from RNAcentral.